CCUACCUGCCAUGUCUGUUUGUCAGCCACGUACCCUAUACCUGAGCGAGGUGCAUGUUACUGUUCUUUAAAUCUAGACUCAGUAUCAACGGCAUCACGAGGGCUGACUAUCUCCUUCUCCAAUCAGUGAAACUGAUCUCCCCGUGAAGAAGCGGGGAUUGACCUAUAAGACGAGAAGACCCCAUGGAGCUUUAAACCCAACACACACCUCUACUCACUCAAAUCAACAUAACCCAAGAGACUUAUGUAUUGGUUUUAGGUUGGGGGGACCGCGGAGUAAAAUCAAACCUCCAUGACAGACGGACUAACACCCUUAUCCAUGAACCACAAUUCUAAGAGCCAAUAAAUUGUUGUCUAAUGACCCAAUUACUUGAUCAACGAACCAAGUUACCCUGGGGAUAACAGCGCAAUCUACUCAAGAGCCCUAUCGACAAGUAGGUUUACGACCUCGAUGUUGGAUCAGGGUAUCCUAGUGGUGCAGCCGCUACUAAAGGUUCGUUUGUUCAACGAUUAAAACCCU
RNAcentral lists this ribosomal RNA (519 nucleotides) under Amolops mantzorum (Kangting sucker frog). Its description in RNAcentral is "partial 16S ribosomal RNA". It matches the Rfam family "Bacterial large subunit ribosomal RNA", at positions 1956 to 2597 of the family's 2925-position model. The record is from RNAcentral. Lineage: Eukaryota; Metazoa; Chordata; Amphibia; Anura; Ranidae.